UACGUAGGUGGCGAGCGUUGUCCGGAUUUACUGGGCGUAAAGGGAGCGUAGGCGGACUUUUAAGUGAGAUGUGAAAUACUCGGGCUCAACUUGAGUGCUGCAUUUCAAACUGGAAGUCUAGAGUGCAGGAGAGGAGAAUGGAAUUCCUAGUGUAGCGGUGAAAUGCAUAGAUAUCACGCAGAACUCCGAUUGCGAAGGCAGCAUACCGGCGCCCUACUGACGCUGAGGCACGAAAGCGUGGGUAUCGAACAGG
RNAcentral lists this ribosomal RNA (253 nucleotides) under uncultured bacterium. RNAcentral describes it as "partial 16S ribosomal RNA". It matches the Rfam family "Bacterial small subunit ribosomal RNA", at positions 524 to 776 of the family's 1533-position model. The record is from RNAcentral.